This is a long non-coding RNA of Pollicipes pollicipes, 666 nucleotides long. RefSeq lists it as uncharacterized. The record is from RefSeq and is a predicted model, not a curated record. The transcript has 2 exons. NCBI's taxonomy places the organism in Eukaryota, Metazoa, Arthropoda, Thecostraca, Pollicipedomorpha, Pollicipedidae.
GCUGUGGGCAAGGUGAAACGAAAGGCCGUCGCGACGGUGGUGGCGGCCCCUCGCGAGCUUAUCGGCAAGUGCUGUGCUUUUGUUUGCUGGCGAGUGCUGUGAUGGCAUCAUCUAGUCACGUUGUCUUCAUCUGUGAAAAGGCGGCAUGUUGUAAUUGCACGUGAUGCAUCGUGCCAAGGACCAUUCAAACGGAUGGUGCCCGUUGUGCUGCGUCGCUGGGAGAUUCUUUAUCGGAGUUGGUUGCAAGCCGAAGCGAUCUCGCUGUGCAGAAGACUGGUGUGUCCGAUCCUGUCAGAGGUCACGGAUGCCAACGGCAGAGAGGCGCUGACGGAGCUUCCCAUCCCCACCAACUGGUGGACCCCGUCGAGAGUGGCGCCAGUUGUCAGCGGCGCGGCGUCCGCGCGCCAGGGCUGCCGCGGGUGCGGUCGACGGGAGCGAGAAACACGCUCGUGUCUGAGCGUUCUCCCCUGUUCUCCCCUGAGAAACACGCUCGUGGCUGAGCGUUCUCCCCGUGCUCAACGCGUUCACGUGAUACAUUGUAUUCAUUCACGCAUUGUUUAUGACACCAUAUCAAAACGUUAUGCUGGCAAGCAGCUUUGUCAGGUCAUUGUAAUGUGAUAAUAUUUGAGUGUUCUAACAAACGUGUACAUAUACGUGCGGAUUGGU